CGCUCGCAGACUGCCCGCAGACUGUGGCGGCGCCACAGACGGGCACGGCCGUGGUCAGCGCGUGUCUGUCUGCCGUCUGUGAGUGUUUAACUGACCCGAGAGUUACAGGCGGGCUGCAAACGGGUCCCAGCGACGGGCGCGGACAGGAGGCCUCGCGGCGGCCCGGCGCGCGCCUCACUGCGUGCGCGUGUUUGACGGAGCCACGCGUACAGAGUGGUUUUCCACGGUGAAAAGUUUUUUUUUUAAAAAAAUGUCUGUGUCACCAGACAGCUGUUCAUAAACACACAGCAGUCUAAGAUGGCUGGGUGACACAAUGGGAACUGCUUUUUUGGAUCCUCCUCUUUCAGCUUUUUGAGCACUGCUGAAGAGGCGAGAAGGGAGUCUCUGGUGAACAGGGGUUCAGAGGCAGAGGAAACAAGCCACCUGCAGCUCUGACAGGAGGCUUUGACCUUCACCAGGCUCUCCCCGCUGCAGACUAUUUUCAGGGGCGGCAUGAAGUCUGGGAGAGGCACCGGCCAGGAGUCCAUCAAGUCAGUGACUCCUGGGCGUUACUUAGACACACGGGGAACAGAAAAGAUAUGCAGAUGAGACUCUCGAUGAUGAAGACAGGUCAGUGCUGGAAAAUGAUGCCCAGAAAGGGGUGUUUUAUUGCUGUCAAACUUUACAGAAAUGAUUUAAGAGCACCAAGUAGGCAGGGCAUGCUACACAGAAUACACAACCUGUCUCUGCCACAUUUGUAGUAAGUUACCCUAAACCACAAAAGAAUAUAACAUGCAACUCAUUGCGGUCUGUCAUAUUAAAUAAAUACGAACUGGCUUGCUCA
This 823-nucleotide long non-coding RNA is filed under the name Scleropages formosus (Asian bonytongue). RNAcentral's name for it is "lncRNA (ENSSFOG00015029036.1)". Lineage: Eukaryota; Metazoa; Chordata; Actinopteri; Osteoglossiformes; Osteoglossidae. The record is from RNAcentral.